CUUCUGAGCCAAAAGCUGCACCCAGCGUUGCCCUUAACACACACACGUAAACUGUCUCCGGUGAAUUUGUGUAAUGGUGUUUUGAGUCCAUUUGUCCUUCUGACCUCCACAACAUCCUGUGGCGAUACGUCCCACAACUUAAUUACGUGUGAGUGAAAAAAGUGCUUCCUGUUUGUUUUCUAAAUUGCCUGAAAGCAUCCCUGGGUAAAGCAUCACCCGGUACUGUGGAAAGGUGAGUGAUGGCCCUCGCUUUCCUUGUCUAUAUGGCCGGGCAGCCUAUGGACUCCUCUGCUGUAACCUGUCUGUGUUCCAGGCUGAAGCGUCCCAGGUCUAUUUACCUCCUUACAUGAGAACUGGUGGGUGCCACACACCCCCAACACCAGGUCCUGGGCCUCCUCCAGCCCUGUGGGCCUCUCUGAGGUGCGUGCCUCAGUUUUCCUCCUCCCGCCGAACCCAGAGCACACAAGAGCUGCUGCAGAUCCCCAGAACAAUACGAAAGACAUGAAUCUUCAUGAAACUACCCUCCCAAUGUAGCUGAGACUCCGGAGUGUUCGCAGCCUUUGCCUUUCAUCAGGAGAAGCCCCGGGGAGGUUCAAGGCGGGAUCCUUGCCACUGCGGCUCAGCAGUCACAAAAAGCCAAAUAAAUAAAGCAGGAAGUUGGCAAAGCCCUGAUUCAGCAGAGGUACGAGCACAAGUUCAGCAUUCACCGCUGCUUAAGAUGAUUUGGAACAACAGAGUUGAUCUCAUGGCUGCCCAGGAGUCAGACCGGGAAUCCAGGACCUUGGCAGUCAGCCAUCAGUGUUUUAAAUCUAAGGGGAGAGGAUGCGCAAAGGAUCAGCCACCGAACACAGACGCUUUGGGACGUGACCGUGCAGCAGAGAGGAUCUGCAGAGCAAUUAAGCCCACGGGAUGAAUGGUUCCCUUUACCUUCUCCUCGUGCCUCAUCACAUCUGGUUCCCCAUCCCUGAGCCUCCCCAGGUCGUGUGGUGUGUCCAGAUCUUGUAACGGGGUCUCCCAGAUUGUCCCUAUCAGUGGGGCAAACUCACAUAAUGGCGAGGAUCCCCACCAUCUACACAGAGGUGGUUUUGCUUAUCAAGGGUGUUUUCAGCAAUUUUGAUCUGCUUGUUGGAAAUUUAUAGUGGUGAUGCCCUCUAGGGAGUGACUUGUUUUUCCUACCCCCGAUUCAGCUUCAGACCCGUGAAUUUUAAGUGCAUAUGCAUACAUAACAGCGUGUCUGUAUUUAUACAGAUACUGCCAGUGCACAUUUUGCAGUAAUUCUCCUUGGAUGCUCUUGCUUUCUCCUGCCAUCAAUUUUUUUGAAUGACAUGGAACUGAUAAUGAAUGUGGUUUCAGUACGGAGUGAUUGGGCUGGCUCGUCUCAUUCCACCUCUCCUGCUUUUGAGCAGGAAUGUGAGGACUUGCUGUGUCUAUUUUAGAUUCCAUCAUGAAAGGAAUAAUUGAGAUUGAGAUUCUUAGUCACUCGAUGCAGAAGGUCAGGGAAUUAAUGCUGUGCUGCCUCCAGACCAUUCAUUUACCGUGCCUCCUCUUUUUUAUCCCUUAACUGUCUGUAGGGGAAAACAAAUGCGCCACAGAGCAGGUAACGCAUCUUCAGUGCUGCGUGCGCUCCCGGCCUCUGGUAAUACACACUGUUUAUCUUUAUUUUGGGGAUGUUCCAGGGUGGUUUUAUCAUCAUAAUCGAUUAGUGGCGACAAGGAAAAAAAAUCCAGGAGUAACAGGAAGAAAUGAUUCCAGUGAAUCCAUUGACUCGGUUGUAGCAUUGAUCUACUCCUGAGAAUUAUUUAUAGGAGAAGAUUCAUAGUUAACAAUAUUAGUUUGGACUUCUGGAAUGGUUUAUCAUAGGAUCUAAAAGGCCGUUGGUAACAGGUAGAAGAAUAAGGCAGAGAGUCUCAUUUUGGGAGAGAGAAGGAAAUGGGAUUGCUGGUGUAACUCUGACCACAAGUAUUUGUGGCUCACAAGGUGCGUCUGCCCGCGGUGCGACACGGCAGAGCCUGCACGGACACGGGUGCCGGACCCCAGCGGCUGCCAACCGGCCCGGUUAGGGAAAGCGCCUUCAAAACACCUGCGCUAAACCCCUCCUGAAGCUGCAGCAGAGGUGUCUGUGAGACGGACGCCCGAGCCAGGUCGCGCAGGGACAGCCGCAUGGGCACGAACAACCCUGUUCCUCCCCGGCCUCUCCUCCAGGUUUGGUUUUGUUUUUAACUUAAUUGAUCUGUAUCCUGCAAUCCUACCCGCAGGAGAAACGACACAUCUGAAAGAGCAGGAGGAUUUGUUUAAAGUGCUCUGGCUGAGUUUUUCAGUGUGUGUAUAUAGAAUUGCCUGGAAGUAGUAAAUAGAAUUAAACACGGUAGUUCUGAAAAACAAAAUUCUCAGGGUUGUCUGUUGAUUUCAAAGCUGAUUGGAAACAAAGCAGACUUCGAAAUCUUUCCUCACAGAGCUCCCUCCCUUAUCAUCUAAAAGAUGGGCUGAUAAUAGUUGGGUUUUAUUCUUCUUUUGAAACAGUUGAAAAAUGCUGUUUUCUCAAUUAGGAUGAAAAUCCCAAUGUUUUUAACAAGGUCGGUGUAAUGUCUUCAUUAGAAAGACGCUGAAAUGACUCGAUGCGGAUCUGGAACUUCCAUCAGGAAAUAUUCCGUGUCUG
Columba livia (rock pigeon) is the source of this 2656-nucleotide long non-coding RNA. RefSeq lists it as uncharacterized. Lineage: Eukaryota; Metazoa; Chordata; Aves; Columbiformes; Columbidae. The transcript has 3 exons. The record is from RefSeq and is a predicted model, not a curated record.